GAGCCGAGGGGGCGGGCUGAGGGGCGGCCCCCGGGAGAGAGCGGCCAGGUGGAGGAGGAGCGCGAGGCGACCGCAGCAUCUGCCUGCCCUUCUGCCAUCUGAGCGCCCUGACUGCGCCACACUGCAGGCCAUGGAGAAUGAGCUGCCAGUCCCACAUACAUCUAGCAGUGCCUGUGCCACCAGCAGUACCAGCGGGGCCAGUAGCAGCAGUGGCUGCAACAACAGCAGCAGUGGUGGAAGUGGCCGCCCCACCGGGCCCCAGAUUUCCGUGUACAGUGGUAUUCCAGACCGGCAGACCGUGCAGGUGAUCCAGCAGGCCCUGCACAGACAGCCCAGCACGGCCGCUCAGUACCUGCAGCAGAUGUACGCCGCCCAGCAGCAGCACCUCAUGCUGCAGACAGCGGCGCUGCAGCAGCAGCACCUCAG
Molecule: small RNA, 426 nt
Filed under: Pan troglodytes (chimpanzee)
Lineage: Eukaryota; Metazoa; Chordata; Mammalia; Primates; Hominidae
Description: processed transcript
Source: RNAcentral